This is a long non-coding RNA of Haemorhous mexicanus (house finch), 3153 nucleotides long. RefSeq lists it as uncharacterized. The transcript has 2 exons. The record is from RefSeq and is a predicted model, not a curated record. Lineage: Eukaryota; Metazoa; Chordata; Aves; Passeriformes; Fringillidae.
AGUAAUUUCGGGGCUGUAUCUUGUCUUUCCAAAGGAAGAAUUACAAGUCCAUUGCAGUGCAAAACUUAACUUCUGCAGUUGUACAGAAUAUGCUCCAAAACAAUGGCAUCAUCAACAAAGGCUUUCAUGUUGACCUCUGCUCUACACAAACUUAAAUCUGUUUUACAUCAGAAGCUGCAGGGACGGAAGAGUACAUGGGAAAAGAACAUGUCUGGGAGUUUAGAGAGGACCAGCUAAAUUUUUUGAGCUCCAGUGGGAUUGGUGACAUAACUAAAAAGCAGCAAACAGCAGGUGAGAAGGAGGAUUUAAAUAUAAAUAAGGACACUUUGAAGGCAUAAGUUUUUAUUGAUCACAUUCACAUUUACAAAUCAAAGUCUCUGCUCUUAGAAAAAUAUUUAACUAAGAAAGAAUCCAAAAGUCGUAAAAUACCAAGCAGGGAAAGAAAAAAUAUUAGAAAAAAGGAAAGGCAUGGAAUCAUGUUGAUAAAUAUUCCCCAGACUAAAAAAAUCAACUAAAUACCCUAUUUUCUUUAAUUAAAAAUCACUGAAUUAUUUAAGGAUAUCUGCCCAGAUUAAUUAUUGAAGACACAUCAAGAUCUGCCUAGUGGUGUGAUUACUGGUUUGUAUGGUUAUUAAGAUCUGCCUAUUUGGACUUGAAUUCAACCUCCAAUUAAAAAAGUUAUUAGAAAUUCAAUCCACACUCCGUGCUUUAAAAUGGUUAAAUAUUUUAAUUCACAUCAUUCAUCCAUUAAUAAAAAACAGAGCUUAGUUUCUUUUUUUCACCUGUCACUGUAUACAAAGAAACAAUGCUCAUUUUAUGGCCAUAGUUUAGCAGACAUUUGCCAUCCUACUAAAGGUGCUGCUCACAAUCUAUCCAUGGGAUCAGAGUUCAAUAGCAGCACAUUCAACCUGGAAAAAAGUGGUGGUUACAAUAGCAUAGUAAUAACAGUUGCAGAUAACAAUCUGAAAAGCUCAGACCACUGAAACACCAUGGUUUGCAGUUAGAAAAUAUUUGUGUGUUUUACCAGAAUGUAGCCCAGUACACUGCCAACUAGGAGAAAUAAAAAUCUGGUGGGAGGACACAAAAUUAGAUCAGAGCUCCCUCAAAUGAAAAGAAAUCCAGUCUUGCUGAACUGAAAUGUGAUCAUUGGGAUAGCAUUUCUAUCAGCUCAUUCAUUUCAAAUGCAAUUUAAUGCUGUAUUAGAAACUUCAUUUUAACAAAUGCUAUUGCAUAGGUGCAACUUGGCUGCCACAGCAGGCCCAGGAGACCCCACAGGGACCCCAUAACCACACUUUGGGAACAGAGACACAGAUUCCCUCCACCAAGUGAAGGCCACUGAGGUACUGACUAUUAUAAAACAGGUCUUACCAGCUUUUGCAAGAUGUGUUCAGCCCUGUUGGCCUUAACAGUGACCACAGGGAUGCCUGGGAAUUGAUACAACCACGGAACAAACAUUUAGUGAUACUUAGCCACAAAACUUUGCCAGCCUCCAAAAAUUUGCAGCUUAGAGGCUCCCCACUAGCAGACCUUGCUGGAUUUCUCUUCCAUGAACUUUUCCAGUGGCCUCCUGUUGAGCCCCAUAAAGGAUCAAUAAUCACAGCAUGCAGGCUCGCACUGUGUAGAACCAUCGUGGUCCCUCCUGGGCUGUCCAUGUUGCCCUCAUUUAAUCCCCACACUUCUGGUAUCAGAAAAAGUAGUGGGCACUUGGUCAUCUCCAUGGCAGUCAUGAUUUUCAGACCCUUUCUUUUAUGUUCUCUGCAUUACCUCUUUGGCACGCUGAAAAAUAUGGCCUAUGUGGAUGUUUCUUCUGCAAAGGAUGUGGAGUCAGGACUCCAGGGGUCUGUGGCUGCUCCAUGGAGAGUUUUCACAUACCUUCACCUUGUGUUUAGUGAUUCACCUUGUAUGGACUGAAUUAUUUUCCAAAUAUUUCUGUUUUCCCCUAGAGGAAAGAGUCUUGAUGACAGUUCUAAUCUAAGACCUAAUUUAGGUACCAGGCUGGUGUUUUGAAGGAGACAGAGUUAGAUCAAAUUACACUAAAUUUAUCAGGCGAAGAUCUAAGUGUUUCUGUUUAGUGAGAUGCAGAAAUUUGUGCCAUUAAUGUUAGCUAUUUGACAGUGGUUUCUUUUCAUUACAUGAAAUGAGAAAAUGGAGCCAGUUCAUUAUGAAGAUGGUGAAAGUUUUAAUAAGGCAAAUACAGGCUGAAUCCUACAAGUGCAUGUGGGGAAAGUAAUGUAAAAAAUGCAACAUCAAAGAAAGAUGAGCAGGGGAUUGAGAGCAGAGAAACAUGUAAUGAGCCGAGUCAGACUGAAGUCUAAGAUAAUUGCUCAAAGAUUGCAGCACUUGGGAAUUGCUAUCCUGUGGCAGGAGUAGAAAAUGGGUUGGAAUGAAUGGGACCCAGUCAAUCUGUAACCACAUUGUAAGGGCCAAGAUAAUUUCCUCCAUUUUCAGGUGUAGAAGCUGAGGCUCUGAACAGAGCUGGCAGUGAUGGUCUCACCUGGAACAGAUCUGCUCAGUCUGGGAUCAGACCUGACCAAACUUGGUCUUUGCCCAAAAACCUCUCCUGAAUAUUUUCUGUUUUAACUCUGGGGCUAAAGAGAACUUAAUAACCUGUCAGUGUGAAAUUAAUUUUCUUAACUGCAAAGAGUGUGGCUGUUCUUGCUGUUUGUACAGUGCAAAAUAAGCCAGUUGAUCAAUGGGGCUCUGAUGAUUUAUUAACACCAUGCCGCCAAUGAGAACUCAUGCUGGAACUUAGGAUGGCUCAAACUUAAUUUUAAAAUACUGAAGGAAAUCUCAAAUCUUUCAAUGACUUAUAGAACUGCUUGUAUAUUUGUCAUAUAUUAACAUAGAAAGCAAAAUAUAUCUGAAUAAUAAGGAAUGCAUCUUCAAUCAGUUCAAAGUACUGCCAACAACAGUAAGAGCAAAUUGUGUUUCUUCAUGUUCUCUAGAAAUUCCACAAAAAUGACUUGAUAUCCCAGUGUAUUAAGCAAUUCCUAUGUUGCGUACUAAGUACCUCUGUUUUUACAAAAAGAAAAAAAAACCCCAACCUAAAUCUAUUUUCAUUUGUAUUAUUUUUUAAUUUCAAUGAAAACAAUCCAACUGACCUGAAAUUCUCACUGAAAAAGUUUGAGCAUUAUUAAAACAGCUGAAACAAAA